UUUCCUGGUAGCUUAAUGGUCAAAGCGUGUGGCUGUUAACCACGAGACUGUAGGUUCAAAUCCCACUCAGGAAGA
This 75-nucleotide transfer RNA is filed under the name Gloiopeltis furcata. RNAcentral's name for it is "tRNA-Asn". It matches the Rfam family "tRNA". Rfam says of the family: Transfer RNA (tRNA) molecules are approximately 80 nucleotides in length. Their secondary structure includes four short double-helical elements and three loops (D, anti-codon, and T loops). Further hydrogen bonds mediate the characteristic L-shaped molecular structure. tRNAs have two regions of fundamental functional importance: the anti-codon, which is responsible for specific mRNA codon recognition, and the 3' end, to which the tRNAs corresponding amino acid is attached (by aminoacyl-tRNA synthetases). tRNAs cope with the degeneracy of the genetic code in two manners: having more than one tRNA (with a specific anti-codon) for a particular amino acid; and 'wobble' base-pairing, i.e. permitting non-standard base-pairing at the 3rd anti-codon position. The record is from RNAcentral. Lineage: Eukaryota; Rhodophyta; Florideophyceae; Gigartinales; Endocladiaceae.